AUUGAACGCUGGCGGCAGGCCUGACACAUGCAAGUCGAGCGGAUGAAGGGAGCUUGCUCCUGGAUUCAGCGGCGGACGGGUGAGUAAUGCCUAGGAAUCUGCCUGGUAGUGGGGGAUAACGUCCGGAAACGGGCGCUAAUACCGCAUACGUCCUGAGGGAGAAAGUGGGGGAUCUUCGGACCUCACGCUAUCAGAUGAGCCUAGGUCGGAUUAGCUAGUUGGUGGGGUAAAGGCCUACCAAGGCGACGAUCCGUAACUGGUCUGAGAGGAUGAUCAGUCACACUGGAACUGAGACACGGUCCAGACUCCUACGGGAGGCAGCAGUGGGGAAUAUUGGACAAUGGGCGAAAGCCUGAUCCAGCCAUGCCGCGUGUGUGAAGAAGGUCUUCGGAUUGUAAAGCACUUUUAGUUGGGAGGAAGGGCAGUAAGUUAAUACCUUGCUGUUUUGACGUUACCAACAGAAUAAGCACCGGCUAACUUCGUG
RNAcentral lists this ribosomal RNA (484 nucleotides) under uncultured bacterium. RNAcentral describes it as "partial 16S ribosomal RNA". It matches the Rfam family "Bacterial small subunit ribosomal RNA", at positions 30 to 507 of the family's 1533-position model. The record is from RNAcentral.